GACGAACGCUGGCGGCGUGCUUAACACAUGCCAGUCGUACGGUAAGGCCCUUUCGGGGGUACACGAGUGGCGAACGGGUGAGUAACACGUGAGUAACCUGCCCACAACUUUGGGAUAACGCUAGGAAACUGGUGCUAAUACUGGAUAUGUGCUCCUGCUGCAUGGUGGGGGUUGGAAAGCUCCGGCGGUUGUGGAUGGACUCGCGGCCUAUCAGCUUGUUGGUGGGGUAGUGGCCUACCAAGGCGGCGACGGGUAGCCGGCCUAAGAGGGUGACCGGCCACAUUGGGACUGAGAUACGGCCCAGACUCCUACGGGAGGCAGCAGUGGGGAAUAUUGCACAAUGGGCGCAAGCCUGAUGCAGCAACGCCGCGUGCGGGAUGACGGCCUUCGGGUUGUAAACCGCUUUCAGCAGGGACGAAGCUUUUUGUGACGGUACCUGCAGAAGAAGCACCGGCUAACUACGUG
Molecule: ribosomal RNA, 465 nt
Filed under: uncultured bacterium
Lineage: Bacteria
Description: partial 16S ribosomal RNA
Rfam family: Bacterial small subunit ribosomal RNA
Source: RNAcentral